This 1507-nucleotide ribosomal RNA is filed under the name metagenome. RNAcentral's name for it is "bacterial SSU rRNA". It matches the Rfam family "Bacterial small subunit ribosomal RNA". The record is from RNAcentral.
AGAGUUUGAUCCUGGCUCAGAGCGAACGCUGGCGGCAUGCUUAACACAUGCAAGUCGAACGUGAAAAUCCUUCGGGAUUAGUAAAGUGGCGCACGGGUGAGUAACACGUGGGUAAUCUACCUUAAAGCCUGGAAUAACCUGCCGAAAGGCGGGCUAAUACUGGAUAGAGCGAGAAGUUCGUGAAGGACUUUUCGGAAAAGGGAGCUCGUAAGGGCCCUCACUUUAAGAUGAGCCCGCGCCCCAUUAGCUUGUUGGUAGGGUAACGGCCUACCAAGGCUAUGAUGGGUAGCUGGUCUGAGAGGAUGAACAGCCACACUGGGACUGAAACACGGCCCAGACUCCUACGGGAGGCAGCAGUGGGGAAUAUUGCGCAAUGGGCGAAAGCCUGACGCAGCCAUGCCGCGUGAGUGAAGAAGGCCCUUGGGUUGUAAAGCUCUGUUGAGAGGGACGAAACACUCUGAGGUUAACAGCCUCGGAGCUUGACGGUACCUCUUUAGAAAGCACCGGCUAACUCCGUGCCAGCAGCCGCGGUAAUACGGAGGGUGCAAGCGUUGCUCGGAAUUACUGGGCGUAAAGGGAAGGUAGGUGGUUUUGCAUGUCCAAGGUGAAAGCCCCGGGCUUAACUCGGGAAGUGCCUUGGAAACGGCAAAACUAGAGUCCUGAGAGGGUUGUGGAAUUCCCGGUGUAGCGGUGAAAUGCGUAGAGAUCGGGAGGAACACCAGAGGCGAAGGCGGCAACCUGGACAGGAACUGACACUAAACUUCGAAAGCGUGGGUAGCAAACAGGAUUAGAUACCCUGGUAGUCCACGCCGUAAACGAUGGGCACUAGAUUUAGUGGGUCUUAACCCCUGCUGAGUCGGCGCUAACGCAAUAAGUGCCCCGCCUGGGGAGUACGGUCGCAAGACUAAAACUCAAAGGAAUUGACGGGGGCCCGCACAAGCGGUGGAUCAUGUGGUUUAAUUCGAAGCAACGCGAAGAACCUUACCUAGGCUUGACAUUUCCUGACAGCUCUAGAAAUAGAGUCUUGGUGGUAACACCACAGGAGGACAGGUGCUGCAUGGCUGUCGUCAGCUCGUGUGGUGACAUGUUGGGUUAAGUCCCGCAACGAGCGCAACCCCUACCUUUAGUUGCCAGCAUUCAGUUGGGCACUCUAAAGGGACUGCCGUGGUUAACACGGAGGAAGGUGGGGAUGACGUCAAGUCCUCAUGGCCCUUACGCCUAGGGCAACACACGUGAUACAAUGGCUGACACAAAGGGAUGCGAAGGGGUGACCUGGAGCAAAUCUCAAAAAGUUGGUCUCAGUUCGGAUUGAAGUCUGCAAUUCGACUUCAUGAAGUAGGAAUCGCUAGUAAUCGCGGAUCAGAACGCCGCGGUGAAUACGUUCCCGGGCCUUGUACACACCCGUCACACCAUGGAAGCUGACUCAACCAGAAGGCACAAUGGCUAACCGCAAGGAGGCCACUGCACAAGGUGGGGUUGGUGACUGGGGUGAAGUCGUAACAAGGUA